GACCGCCGCAGCAAUGCGGCCAAGGCCAGACGGACAGCCGGGUCGAAUGCCGA
This 53-nucleotide small RNA is filed under the name bovine gut metagenome. RNAcentral's name for it is "Streptococcus sRNA SpF59 (ldcC RNA)". It matches the Rfam family "Streptococcus sRNA SpF59 (ldcC RNA)". The record is from RNAcentral.